UUUUUGGAGAGUUUGAUCCUGGCUCAGGAUGAACGCUGGCGGCGUGCCUAAUACAUGCAAGUCGAGCGG
RNAcentral lists this ribosomal RNA (69 nucleotides) under Candidatus Saccharimonadota bacterium. RNAcentral's name for it is "partial 16S ribosomal RNA". It matches the Rfam family "Bacterial small subunit ribosomal RNA", at positions 1 to 69 of the family's 1533-position model. The record is from RNAcentral. Lineage: Bacteria; Candidatus Saccharimonadota.